RNAcentral lists this ribosomal RNA (253 nucleotides) under uncultured bacterium. Its description in RNAcentral is "partial 16S ribosomal RNA". It matches the Rfam family "Bacterial small subunit ribosomal RNA", at positions 524 to 776 of the family's 1533-position model. The record is from RNAcentral.
GACGAACCGUGCGAACGUUGUUCGGAAUCACUGGGCUUAAAGGGCGCGUAGGCGGGCUCGCAAGUCAGGGGUGAAAGCCCACGGCUCAACCGUGGAAGUGCCUCUGAUACUUCGGGCCUCGAGGGAGGUAGGGGCGUGCGGAACUUCCGGUGGAGCGGUGAAAUGCGUAGAUAUCGGAAGGAACGUCGGUGGCGAAAGCGGCGCGCUGGACCUCUUCUGACGCUGAGGCGCGAAAGCCAGGGGAGCGAACGGG